This 2348-nucleotide long non-coding RNA is filed under the name Cottoperca gobio. RNAcentral's name for it is "lncRNA (ENSCGOG00000015789.1)". The record is from RNAcentral. Lineage: Eukaryota; Metazoa; Chordata; Actinopteri; Perciformes; Bovichtidae.
AAAGAAAGUAGCAAAGUUAUUUGAUAAUAUUGUAUGUCCAUAUAAAAAUGUUAAAACAUUAUUCUUUUGUUAUGAUUAACUCUUUUCCUGCCCUCCAGUGACAGUAUGUCUGCAAAGGGGUCAACCGUGUUGAGCCUAUCAGAAGAUGCUCUAAAGAACCAUCUACUGUCACAGAAGAAGCUGCUCUCUCUUGAAGCGCAAUGCAUCUCGAACAUAUUGGAAAACUGCAUCAGUCGAGUUGAGAUUGUAGCCUCUCUUCCUGCUGUCCUCCGGUUAAACAGAGUGUCUGGUGUUGUGGACAAGCAGUUGAGUCGGGCACUUCAAGAGCAUCAACUAUUAGCCUGAAAGACUGGAGACGCUUAGAAGGUCUCAAGCAGGAUUCAGACGGGGAACAAGAGGGAGAAGUUGUGAAAGCAAAGGCUCAGCUUGAGCAGGACAUCAAGAACUCUGUCAGGGGUCUGUUCAGGCUUGCCCGAGCCCAUCCUGAUGCCAGGUGUGGUUUGAGGGCAGAUCUAGGUAAAGAAGUAGCCAUAGGAGAUAGUGAGUACAAGCUAAUUACAGGGCUUGAGAAGUUUCUCAGCCAUGCGGUAGAAAAGUUGCUGACCAGUCUGGAUGAGGAGCUACACGUAAAGCUGGUUCUUCAAAAUCAGGUGUCUUCGUCCCCUGCCAACCUCGCGGAGCUCAUAGUUUCACAGCAAGAAGUAGCUACAUCCUUAAAACAAAUAGAUGCACAGAUAUCUGAGAAAAAUGAUGAGAUCAAACAUUUUCAAGAUUCUCUAAAAGGAGACAACAGUCAAAAAGCAGAUACGUCGCUUCUUGCGGAACAAGCAGUGCCAGUCACAUAUGAAGACAUCAAAGCACAGCAGUAAACAACAGGAGCUUGAUCGACUGAACAGUCAGCUCAACAAAUUGUUCCUCGAAAGCAGACAGGCAGAGAGAGUAAUCCAAGUGGUACGUUUUAGUGUCGAACAUUUCACAGUAAAUGUACAAACAUAUUUCAUUUUCAUUUAAACCAAACUGUUAUUGCUCUUUUUUUCCUUGGCAGGAAAAUGAGAAGGUGGAGACAGCAAUUGAAAACUUGCUCCAAACUUUUGACGACGACAUAGAAAAAAACCAGGUACAAACUCAGACAAAGUUGCCACUACAAAGAGCCAAAAGUAACUGGAAAAAAAUAAUUAAGUGUGUAUACUCUGGACAACAGUUCAGCCUUUUAGACUAUAUUCAGGGUGUUUAACAUGGCAGUCUGUUCUUGACCUCAGAUAUAGUAGUUUAACAAAAUAAUCUGAACACAGGGUCCCUUUACUAGCUUUUUCCAGAGCCUUCACCCACAUCUCAUAGUGUCUAUCAGCUGAGAGUCUGUUCAGUCUGUACCCUGAUGGAGAACGUCUGUUUUUUCUAAAUAUAUUCAGGGUAUUGUGUAUAUCCUGCCCUUAAAUAUAAUAAUAUAAAGCACGGACAAUCUUUACAUUAGAAAAGCUGAAACCAGAAAAUAUUCGCCAUUUUUGAUUGAUUAAACAACUGUAAAGUUCAAAAUAGUGGCACAUGUAUUUAUUAUUUUUCAAGUCUUAACACAUUGUUUUAUUUACACCUGCUCAUUUCACGCAUUGACCUCUGGCGUGUCUUCGUUCUGAAAUCCAGGACAGGUGCACUCACACUUGUAUAACAUUUAACAACAAUGUGUAUCAGACGGCCUAUUUAUCAGCAGGACGUUAGCAUAGGGUCAAUCUAUGUUUAGCAACACAUCAGAUUUAACUUCUAUCUUUUUUCUUCCCUAUCCACCGACAUCUUUCUCUCUCCUCCAUCCUUUUCGCCUCUCAACACCACCACUGUCACCACCACCUGUCCCAGGCCGACCUGGAGUUGGAAGGAAUGGGUUAUGAAAGGGAGGAGGAGGAACUGAAGACGCUGGAGAAACCCUUUUCUGUCCUCGAGGUGAAGUAUAACAUGAUCCUGGAGAAGCGUCGGCUGGCAGAAGAGAAGAGAAGGGAGGAGAUGAGGGAGCUGCAGUUGAAGACCAAAGCUGCUAUUUUUGCCCAAGCCUGGUGGAGAGGCUACAGUACUCGCAAGGCCUUAAAGAACAAGGGGAAAAGCAAGAAGGCCAAAAAAGGCAAAGGCAAGAAGACCAAAUAAGCGACUGACUAGUUUAGUUACUCUGGUGCAGACACACUCUACCUGAAUGAACGUCUUUGGAUGAAAAUUAAAAAAGAGCUGGUUGAGCAAAUACUAUUAUACUCCAUAAUCAGAGUGUGUUUGUCAUUUAUGUGUUAAUAAAGUGUUUUAUGCUUUAAACUAGUAUUUACUUCUUUUUUUUUUAAAUAUAAAAGGACUGCAUGCAGACAAUGUCAAAC